GGGUUGUGAGGUUAAGCGACUAAGCGUACACGGUGGAUGCCCUGGCAGUCAGAGGCGAUGAAGGGCGUGCUAAUCUGCGAUAAGCGCCGGUAAGGUGAUAUGAACCGUUAUAACCGGCGAUACCCGAAUGGGGAAACCCAGUGUGAUUCGUCACACUAUCAUUAACUGAAUCCAUAGGUUAAUGAGGCGAACCGGGGGAACUGAAACAUCUAAGUACCCCGAGGAAAAGAAAUCAACCGAGAUUCCCCCAGUAGCGGCGAGCGAACGGGGAGGAGCCCAGAGCCUGAAUCAGCAUGUGUGUUAGUGGAAGCGUCUGGAAAGGCGCGCGAUACAGGGUGACAGCCCCGUACACAAAAGCGCAUGUGCUGUGAGCUCGAUGAGUAGGGCGGGACACGUGGUAUCCUGUCUGAAUAUGGGGGGACCAUCCUCCAAGGCUAAAUACUCCUGACUGACCGAUAGUGAACCAGUACCGUGAGGGAAAGGCGAAAAGAACCCCGGCGAGGGGAGUGAAAAAGAACCUGAAACCGUGUACGUACAAGCAGUGGGAGCACAGGUUUACCUGUGUGACUGCGUACCUUUUGUAUAAUGGGUCAGCGACUUAUAUUCUGUAGCAAGGUUAACCGAAUAGGGGAGCCGCAGGGAAACCGAGUCUUAAUUGGGCGUUAAGUUGCAGGGUAUAGACCCGAAACCCGGUGAUCUAGCCAUGGGCAGGUUGAAGGUUGGGUAACACUAACUGGAGGACCGAACCGACUAAUGUUGAAAAAUUAGCGGAUGACCUGUGGCUGGGGGUGAAAGGCCAAUCAAACCGGGAGAUAGCUGGUUCUCCCCGAAAGCUAUUUAGGUAGCGCCUCGUGAAUUCAUCUCCGGGGGUAGAGCACUGUUUCGGCUAGGGGGCCAUCCCGGCUUACCAACCCGAUGCAAACUGCGAAUACCGGAGAAUGUUAUCACGGGAGACACACGGCGGGUGCUAACGUCCGUCGUGAAGAGGGAAACAACCCAGACCGCCAGCUAAGGUCCCAAAGUCAUGGUUAAGUGGGAAACGAUGUGGGAAGGCCCAGACAGCCAGGAUGUUGGCUUAGAAGCAGCCAUCAUUUAAAGAAAGCGUAAUAGCUCACUGGUCGAGUCGGCCUGCGCGGAAGAUGUAACGGGGCUAAACCAUGCACCGAAGCUGCGGCAGCGACGCUGAUGCGUUGUUGGGUAGGGGAGCGUUCUGUAAGCCUGUGAAGGUGUGUCGUGAGGCAUGCUGGAGGUAUCAGAAGUGCGAAUGCUGACAUAAGUAACGAUAAAGCGGGUGAAAAGCCCGCUCGCCGGAAGACCAAGGGUUCCUGUCCAACGUUAAUCGGGGCAGGGUGAGUCGACCCCUAAGGCGAGGCCGAAAGGCGUAGUCGAUGGGAAACGGGUUAAUAUUCCCGUACUUGGUGUUACUGCGAAGGGGGGACGGAGAAGGCUAUGUUGGCCGGGCGACGGUUGUCCCGGUUUAAGCGUGUAGGUGUGUGUUCCAGGUAAAUCCGGUUCACUUUAACACUGAGGCGUGAUGACGAGGCACUACGGUGCUGAAGCAACAAAUGCCCUGCUUCCAGGAAAAGCCUCUAAGCAUCAGGUAACAUCAAAUCGUACCCCAAACCGACACAGGUGGUCAGGUAGAGAAUACCAAGGCGCUUGAGAGAACUCGGGUGAAGGAACUAGGCAAAAUGGUGCCGUAACUUCGGGAGAAGGCACGCUGACACGUAGGUGAAGUGAUUUACUCAUGGAGCUGAAGUCAGUCGAAGAUACCAGCUGGCUGCAACUGUUUAUUAAAAACACAGCACUGUGCAAACACGAAAGUGGACGUAUACGGUGUGACGCCUGCCCGGUGCCGGAAGGUUAAUUGAUGGGGUCAGCGCAAGCGAAGCUCCUGAUCGAAGCCCCGGUAAACGGCGGCCGUAACUAUAACGGUCCUAAGGUAGCGAAAUUCCUUGUCGGGUAAGUUCCGACCUGCACGAAUGGCGUAAUGAUGGCCAGGCUGUCUCCACCCGAGACUCAGUGAAAUUGAACUCGCUGUGAAGAUGCAGUGUACCCGCGGCAAGACGGAAAGACCCCGUGAACCUUUACUAUAGCUUGACACUGAACAUUGAGCCUUGAUGUGUAGGAUAGGUGGGAGGCUUUGAAGUGUGGACGCCAGUCUGCAUGGAGCCGACCUUGAAAUACCACCCUUUAAUGUUUGAUGUUCUAACGUGGACCCGUAAUCCGGGUUGCGGACAGUGUCUGGUGGGUAGUUUGACUGGGGCGGUCUCCUCCUAAAGAGUAACGGAGGAGCACGAAGGUUGGCUAAUCCUGGUCGGACAUCAGGAGGUUAGUGCAAUGGCAUAAGCCAGCUUGACUGCGAGCGUGACGGCGCGAGCAGGUGCGAAAGCAGGUCAUAGUGAUCCGGUGGUUCUGAAUGGAAGGGCCAUCGCUCAACGGAUAAAAGGUACUCCGGGGAUAACAGGCUGAUACCGCCCAAGAGUUCAUAUCGACGGCGGUGUUUGGCACCUCGAUGUCGGCUCAUCACAUCCUGGGGCUGAAGUAGGUCCCAAGGGUAUGGCUGUUCGCCAUUUAAAGUGGUACGCGAGCUGGGUUUAGAACGUCGUGAGACAGUUCGGUCCCUAUCUGCCGUGGGCGCUGGAGAACUGAGGGGGGCUGCUCCUAGUACGAGAGGACCGGAGUGGACGCAUCACUGGUGUUCGGGUUGUCAUGCCAAUGGCACUGCCCGGUAGCUAAAUGCGGAAGAGAUAAGUGCUGAAAGCAUCUAAGCACGAAACUUGCCCCGAGAUGAGUUCUCCCUGAGAUUUAGAGUCUCCUGAAGGAACGUUGAAGACGACGACGUUGAUAGGCCGGGUGUGUAAGCGCAGCGAUGCGUUGAGCUAACCGGUACUAAUGAACCGUGAGGCUUAACCUUACAACGCCGAAG
Molecule: ribosomal RNA, 2929 nt
Filed under: Salmonella enterica subsp. enterica serovar Inverness str. ATCC 10720
Lineage: Bacteria; Pseudomonadati; Pseudomonadota; Gammaproteobacteria; Enterobacterales; Enterobacteriaceae
Description: bacterial LSU rRNA
Rfam family: Bacterial large subunit ribosomal RNA
Source: RNAcentral